RNAcentral lists this unclassified non-coding RNA (321 nucleotides) under uncultured Sebacina. Its description in RNAcentral is "sequence contains ITS1, 5.8S rRNA gene, ITS2". The stretch from base 35 to 188 matches the Rfam family "5.8S ribosomal RNA". Lineage: Eukaryota; Fungi; Basidiomycota; Agaricomycetes; Sebacinales; Sebacinaceae. The record is from RNAcentral.
UGGAAUGUCUAUUGUACAAUGUACAACCAAAAACAACUUUCAACAACGGAUCUCUUGGCUCUCGCAUCGAUGAAGAACGCAGCGAAAUGCGAUAAGUAAUGUGAAUUGCAGAAUUCAGUGAAUCAUCGAAUCUUUGAACGCACCUUGCACCCUUUGGUAUUCCGAAGGGUACACCCGUUUGAGUGUCAUUGUAAUCUCACUACAACCGCUUUUUUGUGGUUGCAUGUGGACUUGGAUGUUGCUGUGUAACAAACGGCUCAUCUGAAAUGCCUGAGUGUACCCUGCUUGCAGCGUAUUUGGUGUGAUAAAUCUUCACCGGAG